UGAUUAGGGUUUGAUCAUGGCUCAGAUUGAACGCUGGCGAUAUGCUUAACACAUGCAAGUCGAACGGAAACGAUACUAGCUUGCUAGUAGGCGUCGAGUGGCGGACGGGUGAGUAACGCGUAGGAAUCUGCNUGAUAGUGGGGGAUAGCCCGAAGAAAUUCGGAUUAAUACCGCAUAAUCUAUUCGUAGUAAAGUGGGGGACUUUCGAGCCUCACGCUAUCAGAUGAGCCUGCGUAAGAUUAGCUUGUUGGUAGGGUAAAAGCCUACCAAGGCGACGAUCUUUAGCUGGUCUGAGAGGAUGAUCAGCCACAUCGGGACUGAGACACGGCCCGAACUCCUACGGGAGGCAGCAGUGGGGAAUAUUGGACAAUGGGGGCAACCCUGAUCCAGCAAUACCGCGUGUGUGAAGAAGGCCUGAGGGUUGUAAAGCACUUUCAAUUGUGAAGAAAAGUUAGCGGUUAAUAACCGUUAGCCUUGACGUUAACUUUAGAAGAAGCACCGGCUAACUCCGUGCCAGCAGCCGCGGUAAUACGGAGGGUGCAAGCGUUAAUCGGAAUUACUGGGCGUAAAGCGUGCGUAGGCGGUUUAUUAAGUCAGAUGUGAAAGCCCCGGGCUUAACCUGGGAACUGCAUUUGAAACUGGUCAACUAGAGUAUGGUAGAGGAAAGUGGAAUUUCUGGUGUAGCGGUGAAAUGCGUAGAUAUCAGAAGGAACAUCAAUGGCGAAGGCAGCUUUCUGGACCAAUACUGACGCUGAGGUACGAAAGCGUGGGUAGCAAACAGGAUUAGAUACCCUGGUAGUCCACGCCGUAAACGAUGAUAACUAGCCGUUGGGGGGAUUUACCCUUUAGUGGCGAAGCUAACGCGUUAAGUUAUCCGCCUGGGGAGUACGGCCGCAAGGUUAAAACUCAAAUGAAUUGACGG
This 922-nucleotide ribosomal RNA is filed under the name uncultured bacterium. Its description in RNAcentral is "bacterial SSU rRNA". It matches the Rfam family "Bacterial small subunit ribosomal RNA", at positions 1 to 916 of the family's 1533-position model. The record is from RNAcentral.